This 338-nucleotide long non-coding RNA is filed under the name Physcomitrium patens. RNAcentral's name for it is "long non-coding RNA (PPAT_LNC002124)". Lineage: Eukaryota; Viridiplantae; Streptophyta; Bryopsida; Funariales; Funariaceae. The record is from RNAcentral.
AAUUAUUUAAUUAAGAUAUAAAGAAGUAUAAAUUUUGAAUUAAUCUUAACAAUUUAAUCAUUAAUUAUUAAUAUUCUAUUUUUUUAUAGGAUUUCUAAAGAAUUUUUUAAGAUUUAGGAUUUGAUUAGGAUUUGAUUUAGGAUUUUUUUACAUUUUGAUUAGGACUUAAGAUUUGGUCUAAGAUUUAGUUAGGAUUAGGAUUUGGUUUAGAACUUGAUUAAGAUUUGACUAAGAUUUGUCUAAUAUUUAUCUAUGAUUUUAUUAAGAUUUGACAUAAGAUUUAGUUAAGAUUUAAUUAGGAUUUUGAUUAGGAUUAUAUUAAAAUUUUAUUUUUAAUA